CCAGCAAGCCACAGUCUGCAGAGUCAGCCCUCUCACCAGAUUUCCUGGGGCUCAGGGAUUCUGUCCCCUUCUUCCCAGCCCCUUGAGAGUGUGUGGCAGCGCUGGCAGCUCUGAGUGCCUGUUGAUCUCUCUGCUGGCAGCCAGGUGCGCCUGCGUCCACCUCCUCUCCUCGGCUUCUGCUGAAACGACUUCACUUUCUCAUGUUUCCUCCCACCUCCCUUUCUCUCCAGAGGCCAUUAACUGUUUGAUGCGAGCAAUCGAGAUCUACACAGACAUGGGCCGAUUCACGAUUGCGGCCAAGCACCACAUCUCCAUUGCUGAGAUCUAUGAGACGGAGUUGGUGGACAUUGAGAAGGCCAUCGCCCACUACGAGCAGUCCGCAGACUACUACAAAGGCGAAGAGUCCAACAGGUAGCCCCCUUCCUGCCU
This 429-nucleotide small RNA is filed under the name Pongo abelii (Sumatran orangutan). Its description in RNAcentral is "retained intron". The record is from RNAcentral. Lineage: Eukaryota; Metazoa; Chordata; Mammalia; Primates; Hominidae.